GUUGCUAGGCAGGCCUGGACGCGGCUGCCGCGGUUCCCUGCCCGCUCCGAGGCGGACGGUGGUGGCGGGGUGCGGUGCCUGUCCGCCCCCCCUCCCAUGGAGGGUGACAAGAGAAGAACCAAAGAAGAUACCUGGAAAUCAGAAGAACUUAGGAAACAUCUUAGGGCAUUACAAUCAGAUAGUCAAACUGAAGACCAAAAGCACAGAGAAAAGAAACCGCAGAAAGAGAAGCCUGUUUAUGACACAGACACUCAUAAACAUGAACGCAAAGACAGAGGGAAGAGCAAGGAAAGAACAAGAGAGAGAGAGAGAUUAAAAUCUGGUGAAAGAGACAGGGAUAAAAUGAGAGAGAGAGAGAGGUGGAAAGAGCGCCAGGGGGAAGGAGACCGAGUGAGAUACAAAGAUAAACUUCAAGAGUUAAGUCUGGAGAAAGAAAGAUACAGUUUUCCAAAAGAUAAAGACAGGGAGAGCUAUAGGGAACCAGACAAAAAGCACAGAAGACAUGAGGUAAAGCAAAUAGAUACACAAAAUAAUCUGAAAUCAUUUGAAGGAAGAGAUAAAGAACAUCACAGAAGAAGAGAAAGCAGGCAUCGUUUGGAGAAGGAGAAAACAAGUGAAGAGCGAGAAAGAAGACAUGCAGAAAAGAAGGAUAAUGAUACCAAAAAGAACAUUGACAAAUUUUUAGCCUACAAAUUUGAAGAAGGUGAACGUGUACACAAAUUACAGAAAGAUCAAGAGUUGGAUAAGGAGCGAGAAAGAAGACACAGAGAAAAAAAAGAACAUUCUGUUAGGCCAGGAAAAGAGAGGCUUUCAAAAGAGAGAAGUCAUAAACUUUAUGGAAAGGAAGAGAAAGAAAAACAUAAAUCAAAGAAAUCUGAAGACAGAUCUUCCCAUGGAGACAGUGACGGGCAACCAGCAGAAGCUAGUGAGAAAGUAAAAAGUAGAGAAAAUGAAAGAAAGAAGCACGAUCUUGGG
This 975-nucleotide long non-coding RNA is filed under the name Strigops habroptila (Kakapo). RNAcentral describes it as "lncRNA (ENSSHBG00005013436.1)". Lineage: Eukaryota; Metazoa; Chordata; Aves; Psittaciformes; Psittacidae. The record is from RNAcentral.